UGCUUUCUCAUGACCGACUUCAGCAGCAGGCACUAUGCAUAGAUUUAACUCUAGUGCAGAUUUGAAUUUAGUCACAGCAUUACUCUGGCCACCAUUGGAGUACAGGCACAUCUAAAAUGUUUUCUGAGAGUCUAUUAGAACCAGCCUUAAAAACAUGUAUUUGAAAGUGAAACUCAAGAGCCUCCUGGGCCAGAACUCACUCUAAGGAGAGAAGAGACCAGACAUAAAGACUUGAUCAUUGGAAGAUGAGUUCCGGGAUAAUGUUAUUAGCUUUCAAGCAUGUGAUGCAUCCCAAGAGAGCUGUUGACUUCCAGUCUGACCAAAUUCUUUCACGUUGUGGCGUGUACGAUGUAUAAACGUUUUGGAAUGCCUCUGAGACGACUUCUGCCGGUGAGUCUUUCCUCUGAGUGUCUUUGGGGCUAGAACAGUCAUGUCCAUUUCAUUGUUGAUUAGGUGUUCGUAUAAAAAAGAAUUUUUAAAUGCUUUACUUAACAGCUCUGAUUAACACUGAGUAUUUAGAUCCUGAUGUGUCAGUUAUAGACAUUUAAUCUCUCAUCAUUAAAUAUUUCUGCCUCUUUCACUGAAUAGAGGAGGAUGUAUGUGAGCAACAUAUGGGUGGAGUUGAUCUGAACAAGAAUUUAGGGAGGAGAAAAUUAUACGAUCUCUAAUUUUUUUAGGGAGAGGCUGAA
This 689-nucleotide long non-coding RNA is filed under the name Macaca mulatta (Rhesus monkey). RNAcentral's name for it is "lncRNA (ENSMMUG00000048878.2)". Lineage: Eukaryota; Metazoa; Chordata; Mammalia; Primates; Cercopithecidae. The record is from RNAcentral.